Molecule: non-coding RNA, 136 nt
Organism: Hordeum vulgare subsp. vulgare (domesticated barley)
Lineage: Eukaryota; Viridiplantae; Streptophyta; Magnoliopsida; Poales; Poaceae
Source: Rfam
AAGAUACUCUCUCCGUCCUAAAAUUCUUAUUUUAAGUUUAUUUAAAAAUGAAUGUGUAUAAAUACUAAAACGUUACUAGAUACAUUCAUAUGUAAACAAAUUUAUGACAAGAGUUUUGAAACGGAGGGAGUAAUAU